Molecule: long non-coding RNA, 1783 nt
Filed under: Marmota monax (woodchuck)
Lineage: Eukaryota; Metazoa; Chordata; Mammalia; Rodentia; Sciuridae
Source: RNAcentral
CUCAUUUUCCUUUAAGUUCUUAUUUGACCCUUGAAUUAUUUGAAGUAUGUUUUCCAAAUUUUCAAAUAUCCGAGGAUUUUUUCCAGAUUUUUUUUUGUUAUUGUUUUUUACUCUAGUGAAGUUUUAUCCGAAAAUAUGCUUAUAUGAUUUCACUCCUUUAAAUUUACUGAAAUGUGUUUUCUCUACAUGGUCUGUCUUAAUGACUUCUUCACAUACACUUAAAGAGGAUGUAUAUUUUGUCAUGUUAGUAAAAUAUUUCUUUAAAUAUUAAUUUGAUCAAUUUGGUUUUGAAAAUGAAGUCAUGUAUUUGAUUUUUCUGUCUACUUUUUGAUUAUUGAGAAGCAUGUUAAAAUCGACAAAAGUUAGUUGUAUCCAUUAAUUCAGUUGUAUCCAUUUUUGUUUUGUGCAUUUUGAAGAUCUGUUUUAAACAUGUAUUUAAGAAUACAUGCACCUAGUUAUAUAAUUAUGAAAUGUUAUGUAUCUCAUAUUUGUCAUGAAAUCCACUUUUUCUUAUAUUAGUAUAGCCAUUUCAGUUUUCUUGUGAUUAGUCUUCACAUGGUUUAUCUUUUUUCUUUUACUUUAUUUUAUAUUUAAAAUGUGUUUCUUAUGGAUAGCAUUGAGUUAGAUCUUUCUAUCCAGUCUUAUGAUCUCUGCAUUUAAUUACAAUAUUUAAACCAUUUACAUUUAAUUAUCAAUGUGGUUGGAAUCAUGUUUGUCAUCUUACUUCUUUUUCUAUUUGUCCUAUCUGUUCUAUGUUCCACUGACCCUUAUUUCUUUUCUUUUCAAAAUUAUGUUUAUAAUUUAUUUGUCUUACUAGCUUAUUAACUUUAUUAUUUCUUUUACAUUAUUACUGAGUUUUCUAAAGUUUAUAAUAUUCAUGUUGAAGUUUCUACAUUCUAUGCUUUGGAUUAUAUUUUACCACAAUGUAUAAUGGAAAAGCCUUACAACAAUAUGCUCCUGUUUUCCCUUUUUUAUCCUUGUGCUUUUGAUAUCAUAUUUUACUUCUGUAAAUAUUAUAAUCACCAUAAUGCAUUAGUAUUAUAUUACAUUUAGCUUAAGUAGUCAACUAUUACUUACAUUUACUUUAAGUAGUCAGUUACCUGUUAAGGAAAUUUUAAAACAAACAAAUAUAUUUUAUAUUCUCCUACAUAUUGACCAUUUUCAGCAGUUUGCAUCUCCUUUUUUAUAUAUGAAUUCUCAUGUGAUAUUACAUUCCUUCAGCUUUUAGAACUUUCUUUAAUAAUGUCUUAUAGUAUAGAUCUGCUUGCAAAAAAAAAAUGAUCUUAGAUUUAUUUUCUCUGAAAAUGUUUUGUCUUCAUUUUGAGAUAAUAUGUCUAGAUUGACAAGCUCUCUCUUUUCAUAAUUUUAAAGAUAUCAUCUUCUGGUUUAUACUGCCUCUGAUGCUAAAUUGUUUCUUGUUCCUCUACAUAUAAUUGUCUUUUUCCCUCUGGAUAUUUUCAAAAGUUUGUUGUUUGUUUUCAGCCACGUAACUGAUGUGCCUUGGUGUGGUAUUUUUUUCUGUAUGAAAAUUGUUAAACUUCUAAGAUGUGUGGGUUUUUCAAACUUGCAAAUUUGAAAAAAAUUUUAUCUCAUGUAUUCAUAUACUUUUUCUUAGCUCCCUCUUCUAUUUGGGAUUUUAAUUAUACAUUGAUUAGAUUGCAUAUUGUCCUAUAUAGGCCACUAAAAUGCUAAUCUCUGUUUUCCCCCCACGCUUUUUUCUCUGCUUCAGAUUUGUUUUGUUUUGUUUCCUGUUUGUCAAAUAUAUUAUUGUGUUAUUCUCCAU